GUACACUCCUGCGGGAGGCAGCAGUGGGGAAUAUUGCACAAUGGGCGGAAGCCUGAUGCAGCAACGCCGCGUGCGGGAUGACGGCCUUCGGGUUGUAAACCGCUUUCGCCUGUGACGAAGCGUGAGUGACGGUAAUGGGUAAAGAAGCACCGGCUAACUACGUGCCAGCAGCCGCGGUGAUACGUAGGGUGCGAGCGUUGUCCGGAUUUAUUGGGCGUAAAGGGCUCGUAGGUGGUUGAUCGCGUCGGAAGUGUAAUCUUGGGGCUUAACCCUGAGCGUGCUUUCGAUACGGGUUGACUUGAGGAAGGUAGGGGAGAAUGGAAUUCCUGGUGGAGCGGUGGAAUGCGCAGAUAUCAGGAGGAACACCAGUGGCGAAGGCGGUUCUCUGGGCCUUUCCUGACGCUGAGGAGCGAAAGCGUGGGGAGCGAACAGGCUUAGAAACCCUAGUAGUCCCAUGAU
This 459-nucleotide ribosomal RNA is filed under the name uncultured organism. Its description in RNAcentral is "partial 16S ribosomal RNA". It matches the Rfam family "Bacterial small subunit ribosomal RNA", at positions 331 to 801 of the family's 1533-position model. The record is from RNAcentral.